AUACUUACCUGGCAGGAGAGAUACCAUGAUGAUGAAGGUGGUUUUCCCAGGCGAGGCUUAUCCAUUGCACCCCAGAUGUGCUGGCCCCUACGAUUCCCCCAGUGUGGGAAACUCAACUGCAUAAUCUGUGGUAGUGGGGAAGUGCGUUCGCGCUCUCCCCUG
Molecule: small nuclear RNA, 162 nt
Filed under: Echinops telfairi (small Madagascar hedgehog)
Lineage: Eukaryota; Metazoa; Chordata; Mammalia; Afrosoricida; Tenrecidae
Description: U1 spliceosomal RNA (ENSETEG00000020686.1)
Rfam family: U1 spliceosomal RNA
About the family: U1 is a small nuclear RNA (snRNA) component of the spliceosome (involved in pre-mRNA splicing). Its 5' end forms complementary base pairs with the 5' splice junction, thus defining the 5' donor site of an intron. There are significant differences in sequence and secondary structure between metazoan and yeast U1 snRNAs, the latter being much longer (568 nucleotides as compared to 164 nucleotides in human).
Source: RNAcentral